UGCUAUGGAUCGUAGGAGCCGA
RNAcentral lists this microRNA (22 nucleotides) under Eptesicus fuscus (big brown bat). RNAcentral describes it as "efu-miR-9191". Lineage: Eukaryota; Metazoa; Chordata; Mammalia; Chiroptera; Vespertilionidae. The record is from miRBase by way of RNAcentral.